UUCCGGUUGAUCCUGCCAGAGGUUACUGCUAUCGGUGUUCGCCUAAGCCAUGCGAGUCAUAUGUAGCAAUACAUGGCGUACUGCUCAGUGACACGUGGAUAACCUGCCCUUGGGACCGGCAUAACCCCGGGAAACUGGGGAUAAUUCCGGAUAACGCAUAUUUGCUGGAAUGCUUUAUGCGUCAAAAGGAUUCGUCUGCCCAAGGAUGGGUCUGCGGCCUAUCAGGUAGUAGUGGGUGUAAUGUACCUACUAGCCAGCGACGGGUACGGGUUGUGAGAGCAAGAGCCCGGAGAUGGAUUCUGAGACAUGAAUCCAGGCCCUACGGGGCGCAGCAGGCGCGAAAACUUUACAAUGCGGGAAACCGUGAUAAGGGGACACCGAGUGCCAGCAUCAUAUGCUGGCUGUCCGGAUGUGUAAAAUACAUCCGUUAGCAAGGGCCGGGCAAGACCGGUGCCAGCCGCCGCGGUAACACCGGCGGCCCGAGUGGUGAUCGUGAUUAUUGGGUCUAAAGGGUCCGUAGCCGGUUUGGUCAGUCCUCCGGGAAAUCUGAUAGCUUAACUAUUAGGCUUUCGGGGGAUACUGCCAGACUUGGAACCGGGAGAGGUAAGAGGUACUACAGGGGUAGGAGUGAAAUCUUGUAAUCCCUGUGGGACCACCUGUGGCGAAGGCGUCUUACCAGAACGGGUUCGACGGUGAGGGACGAAAGCUGGGGGCACGAACCGGAUUAGAUACCCGGGUAGUCCCAGCCGUAAACGAUGCUCGCUAGGUGUCAGGCAUGGCGCGACCGUGUCUGGUGCCGCAGGGAAGCCGUGAAGCGAGCCACCUGGGAAGUACGGCCGCAAGGCUGAAACUUAAAGGAAUUGGCGGGGGAGCACAACAACGGGUGGAGCCUGCGGUUUAAUUGGAGUCAACGCCGGG
This 918-nucleotide ribosomal RNA is filed under the name uncultured archaeon. Its description in RNAcentral is "bacterial SSU rRNA". It matches the Rfam family "Archaeal small subunit ribosomal RNA", at positions 1 to 922 of the family's 1478-position model. The record is from RNAcentral.